CAGUCGCCACGGUAAAACGGAGGGAGCUAGCGUUGUUCGGAAUUACUGGGCGUAAAGCGCGCGUAGGCGGUUACUCAAGUCAGAGGUGAAAGCCCGGGGCUCAACCCCGGAACUGCCUUUGAAACUAGGUGACUAGAAUCUUGGAGAGGUCAGUGGAAUUCCGAGUGUAGAGGUGAAAUUCGUAGAUAUUCGGAAGAACACCAGUGGCGAAGGCGACUGACUGGACAAGUAUUGACGCUGAGGUGCGAAAGCGUGGGGAGCAAACAGGAUUAGAUACCCGCGUAGUCCCUGUCUCUUAUAA
Molecule: ribosomal RNA, 301 nt
Filed under: uncultured bacterium
Lineage: Bacteria
Description: partial 16S ribosomal RNA
Rfam family: Bacterial small subunit ribosomal RNA
Source: RNAcentral